GGUGCCGCGGUGUGCGAACCGAGCGAUCUGACGACGGACGAGGUUGAGCGGCUCAUUGAAGCGGUGAGAGAGCGCGAGUGUCUUUAUGACGUCGGUUCUCUAGAGUACAGGGAUUCCAAGCGAAAAAAGAAUGCCUGGGAGUCCGUGCGCAUUGCCUGCGGCAUGAAGUCCGGUGAGGACGCACAAAAAGCGUGGAAGCGUGUACGCGACAGGUAUGUUCGGGAGGUCCGCGCCAUUGAAGCUGCCACAAGGAGUGGCAGUGGCUUCGUCCGGAAAAAACAAUGGGCCUUCCUGGAAAUGAUGUCGUUUUACGAGAAACAUAUCCGACCCAGGAAGGCAACCACCAACGUAAAGGCACC
Molecule: long non-coding RNA, 359 nt
Organism: Ixodes scapularis (black-legged tick)
Lineage: Eukaryota; Metazoa; Arthropoda; Arachnida; Ixodida; Ixodidae
Exons: 3
Source: RefSeq, a predicted model, not a curated record